Molecule: ribosomal RNA, 2923 nt
Filed under: Escherichia coli
Lineage: Bacteria; Pseudomonadati; Pseudomonadota; Gammaproteobacteria; Enterobacterales; Enterobacteriaceae
Description: LSU rRNA
Rfam family: Bacterial large subunit ribosomal RNA
Source: RNAcentral
GGUUAAGCGACUAAGCGUACACGGUGGAUGCCCUGGCAGUCAGAGGCGAUGAAGGACGUGCUAAUCUGCGAUAAGCGUCGGUAAGGUGAUAUGAACCGUUAUAACCGGCGAUUUCCGAAUGGGGAAACCCAGUGUGAUUCGUCACACUAUCAUUAACUGAAUCCAUAGGUUAAUGAGGCGAACCGGGGGAACUGAAACAUCUAAGUACCCCGAGGAAAAGAAAUCAACCGAGAUUCCCCCAGUAGCGGCGAGCGAACGGGGAGCAGCCCAGAGCCUGAAUCAGUGUGUGUGUUAGUGGAAGCGUCUGGAAAGGCGCGCGAUACAGGGUGACAGCCCCGUACACAAAAAUGCACAUGCUGUGAGCUCGAUGAGUAGGGCGGGACACGUGGUAUCCUGUCUGAAUAUGGGGGGACCAUCCUCCAAGGCUAAAUACUCCUGACUGACCGAUAGUGAACCAGUACCGUGAGGGAAAGGCGAAAAGAACCCCGGCGAGGGGAGUGAAAAAGAACCUGAAACCGUGUACGUACAAGCAGUGGGAGCACGCUUAGGCGUGUGACUGCGUACCUUUUGUAUAAUGGGUCAGCGACUUAUAUUCUGUAGCAAGGUUAACCGAAUAGGGGAGCCGAAGGGAAACCGAGUCUUAACUGGGCGUUAAGUUGCAGGGUAUAGACCCGAAACCCGGUGAUCUAGCCAUGGGCAGGUUGAAGGUUGGGUAACACUAACUGGAGGACCGAACCGACUAAUGUUGAAAAAUUAGCGGAUGACUUGUGGCUGGGGGUGAAAGGCCAAUCAAACCGGGAGAUAGCUGGUUCUCCCCGAAAGCUAUUUAGGUAGCGCCUCGUGAAUUCAUCUCCGGGGGUAGAGCACUGUUUCGGCAAGGGGGUCAUCCCGACUUACCAACCCGAUGCAAACUGCGAAUACCGGAGAAUGUUAUCACGGGAGACACACGGCGGGUGCUAACGUCCGUCGUGAAGAGGGAAACAACCCAGACCGCCAGCUAAGGUCCCAAAGUCAUGGUUAAGUGGGAAACGAUGUGGGAAGGCCCAGACAGCCAGGAUGUUGGCUUAGAAGCAGCCAUCAUUUAAAGAAAGCGUAAUAGCUCACUGGUCGAGUCGGCCUGCGCGGAAGAUGUAACGGGGCUAAACCAUGCACCGAAGCUGCGGCAGCGACACUAUGUGUUGUUGGGUAGGGGAGCGUUCUGUAAGCCUGUGAAGGUGUACUGUGAGGUAUGCUGGAGGUAUCAGAAGUGCGAAUGCUGACAUAAGUAACGAUAAAGCGGGUGAAAAGCCCGCUCGCCGGAAGACCAAGGGUUCCUGUCCAACGUUAAUCGGGGCAGGGUGAGUCGACCCCUAAGGCGAGGCCGAAAGGCGUAGUCGAUGGGAAACAGGUUAAUAUUCCUGUACUUGGUGUUACUGCGAAGGGGGGACGGAGAAGGCUAUGUUGGCCGGGCGACGGUUGUCCCGGUUUAAGCGUGUAGGCUGGUUUUCCAGGCAAAUCCGGAAAAUCAAGGCUGAGGCGUGAUGACGAGGCACUACGGUGCUGAAGCAACAAAUGCCCUGCUUCCAGGAAAAGCCUCUAAGCAUCAGGUAACAUCAAAUCGUACCCCAAACCGACACAGGUGGUCAGGUAGAGAAUACCAAGGCGCUUGAGAGAACUCGGGUGAAGGAACUAGGCAAAAUGGUGCCGUAACUUCGGGAGAAGGCACGCUGAUAUGUAGGUGAAGCGACUUGCUCGUGGAGCUGAAAUCAGUCGAAGAUACCAGCUGGCUGCAACUGUUUAUUAAAAACACAGCACUGUGCAAACACGAAAGUGGACGUAUACGGUGUGACGCCUGCCCGGUGCCGGAAGGUUAAUUGAUGGGGUCAGCGCAAGCGAAGCUCUUGAUCGAAGCCCCGGUAAACGGCGGCCGUAACUAUAACGGUCCUAAGGUAGCGAAAUUCCUUGUCGGGUAAGUUCCGACCUGCACGAAUGGCGUAAUGAUGGCCAGGCUGUCUCCACCCGAGACUCAGUGAAAUUGAACUCGCUGUGAAGAUGCAGUGUACCCGCGGCAAGACGGAAAGACCCCGUGAACCUUUACUAUAGCUUGACACUGAACAUUGAGCCUUGAUGUGUAGGAUAGGUGGGAGGCUUUGAAGUGUGGACGCCAGUCUGCAUGGAGCCGACCUUGAAAUACCACCCUUUAAUGUUUGAUGUUCUAACGUUGACCCGUAAUCCGGGUUGCGGACAGUGUCUGGUGGGUAGUUUGACUGGGGCGGUCUCCUCCUAAAGAGUAACGGAGGAGCACGAAGGUUGGCUAAUCCUGGUCGGACAUCAGGAGGUUAGUGCAAUGGCAUAAGCCAGCUUGACUGCGAGCGUGACGGCGCGAGCAGGUGCGAAAGCAGGUCAUAGUGAUCCGGUGGUUCUGAAUGGAAGGGCCAUCGCUCAACGGAUAAAAGGUACUCCGGGGAUAACAGGCUGAUACCGCCCAAGAGUUCAUAUCGACGGCGGUGUUUGGCACCUCGAUGUCGGCUCAUCACAUCCUGGGGCUGAAGUAGGUCCCAAGGGUAUGGCUGUUCGCCAUUUAAAGUGGUACGCGAGCUGGGUUUAGAACGUCGUGAGACAGUUCGGUCCCUAUCUGCCGUGGGCGCUGGAGAACUGAGGGGGGCUGCUCCUAGUACGAGAGGACCGGAGUGGACGCAUCACUGGUGUUCGGGUUGUCAUGCCAAUGGCACUGCCCGGUAGCUAAAUGCGGAAGAGAUAAGUGCUGAAAGCAUCUAAGCACGAAACUUGCCCCGAGAUGAGUUCUCCCUGACUCCUUGAGAGUCCUGAAGGAACGUUGAAGACGACGACGUUGAUAGGCCGGGUGUGUAAGCGCAGCGAUGCGUUGAGCUAACCGGUACUAAUGAACCGUGAGGCUUAACCUUACAACGCCGAAGAUGUUUUG